CGGCGCCGAAGGGGCAGGGCAGAUCACCAGCGCAUCGCAUUCCAAUCCCAUUUCCCCCUUGAGCAAAGGAGGAGGCAGGCAGCCAGAGCGAGAGCAUCACCAUGUCGGGCAUCAUCCACAAGAUCGAGGAGACCCUCCACAUGGGGGGCGACCACAAGAAGGAGGAGGAGCACAAGAAGGCGGAGGCGCACAAGAAGGCCGAGGAGCACCACAAGAAGGACGGCGAGCACAAGGAGGGCAUCGUCGAGAAGAUCAAGGACAAGAUCACCGGCGAGCACGGCGACAAGUCCGGCGAGCACAAGGACGACAAGGACCACAAGGAGAAGAAGGACAAGAAGAAGAAGAAGGAGAAGAAGCACGGCGAGGGCCACCACGACGGCCGCAGCAGCAGCAGCGACAGCGACUGAUCGCCUCGCGGCGCGCCGUGCUUGCCGGUAAAUAUCCAUUAAUUACCCGCGGUGAAAAAGGUGCUUGGAGAGGACUAUCUACCGGAAGCUGUGUGAUGUAAUAUGUUUCACGAGUGCCAUACGUGUGUGUGCUAAUCAAGGGAGAAAUGAAAAAAAAAACCUUUCAUGUUGAUCAAUGUACUCCUAAUGAUGGCUCCACGGUGCUAGCUUGUAAUAAUAAAAUGUUAAUGCAGAAAUUGGUCUGCUAGAUUGUGUCUUUGACAUGUA
Panicum virgatum (switchgrass) is the source of this 674-nucleotide RNA transcript. It is a transcript of the gene named dehydrin HIRD11-like, with no coding region annotated. The record is from RefSeq and is a predicted model, not a curated record. The transcript is spliced from 2 exons. Lineage: Eukaryota; Viridiplantae; Streptophyta; Magnoliopsida; Poales; Poaceae.